GAAGCCUUAAAUGUGAUUUACCCCGGUUACUAACUGAAAGCGGCUCUUCGUUAGUGGUCGUCGCUCGAACGAAUCAAAUAAUUUCUGCGCUUCGUCUUUCACGCCGGAGGGAAAGCCGCCGAUUGACACUACUUCUUACUUUUUUUUCCUUCUGACCCGUUCUCUAGGAGCUAGACUCAAUGGCUUACAGAUACAAGGCGGGG
This 203-nucleotide long non-coding RNA is filed under the name Lathyrus oleraceus (garden pea). Its description in RNAcentral is "Pisum sativum (pea) long non-coding RNA (PSAT_LNC028478)". The record is from RNAcentral. Lineage: Eukaryota; Viridiplantae; Streptophyta; Magnoliopsida; Fabales; Fabaceae.